GAAUAUUGGACAAUGGGCGAAAGCCUGAUCCAGCCAUGCCGCGUGAUUGAUGAAGGCCUUAGGGUUGUAAAGCUCUUUCAGUGGGGAAGAUAAUGACGGUACCCACAGAAGAAGCCCCGGCUAACUUCGGGCCAGCAGCCGCGGUAAUACGAAGGGGGCUAGCGUUGUUCGGAUUUACUGGGCGUAAAGCGCACGUAGGCGGAUUGGUCAGUUAGGGGUGAAAUCCCGGAGCUCAACUCCGGAACUGCCUUUAAUACUGCCAGUCUAGAGUACGGAAGAGGUGAGUGGAACUCCUAGUGUAGAGGUGGAAUUCGUAGAUAUUAGGAAGAACACCAGUGGUGAAGGCGGCUCACUGGUCCGGUACUGACGCUGAGGUGCGAAAGCGUGGGGAGCAAAC
Molecule: ribosomal RNA, 397 nt
Filed under: uncultured bacterium
Lineage: Bacteria
Description: partial 16S ribosomal RNA
Rfam family: Bacterial small subunit ribosomal RNA
Source: RNAcentral